UUUAUUGGAACUGGAAUGAAAGGCUUAACAAAUAUAGAGUUUUUUAUUUUUUAAUAUUAAAAUUUUUAGUUUGUGUAAAAAUACACAAAUAAUUAAGAGGGACGAUAAGACCCUAAAAGCUUUAUUAGUAUGAUUUUCAUUAUUGUUUUAAUUUGGUUAUUAAAGAUAUUUUAACUGGGGCGGUUGUUUUUAUAACAAAAAUUUUUUAUACAAAUAGGGUUUAAGAUCCUUAAUAUUAGGAUAAAUAGUUUAAGUUACUUUAGGGUUAACAGCAUAAUAACAAUGGGGAGACCUUAUUUAUAUUGUUGAUUGUGACCUCGAUGUUGAAUUAAGAAUUUCUAUAUAAAGCAGAAAUUAUAUAUGAAAGUUUGUUCAACUUUUGAAAUCUUACAUGAUCUGAGUUCAAA
Molecule: ribosomal RNA, 407 nt
Filed under: Platorchestia munmui
Lineage: Eukaryota; Metazoa; Arthropoda; Malacostraca; Amphipoda; Talitridae
Description: partial 16S ribosomal RNA
Source: RNAcentral